UACGGAGGGUGCGAGCGUUAUUCGGAAUAACUGGGCGUAAAGGGCACGCAGGCGGGCUUUUAAGUGAGAUGUGAAAUACCCGGGCUUAACCUGGGAAAAGCAUUUCAGACUGGGAGUCUAGAGUACUUUAGGGAGGGGUAGAAUUCCACGUGUAGCGGUGAAAUGCGUAGAGAUGUGGAGGAAUACCAAAGGCGAAGGCAGCCCCCUGGGACUGUACUGACGCUCAUGUGCGAAAGCGUGGGGAGCAAACAGG
This 253-nucleotide ribosomal RNA is filed under the name uncultured bacterium. RNAcentral's name for it is "partial 16S ribosomal RNA". It matches the Rfam family "Bacterial small subunit ribosomal RNA", at positions 524 to 776 of the family's 1533-position model. The record is from RNAcentral.